CAACUACUCCCUCUGUCCCAAAUUUCUUGUCUUAGAUUUGUCUAGAUACGGAUGUAUCUAAUACUAAAAUGUGACUUGAUACAUCCGUAUCUGGACAAAUCUAAGACAAGAAUUUUGGGACGGAGGGAGUACUUU
Triticum aestivum (bread wheat) is the source of this 135-nucleotide non-coding RNA. The record is from Rfam. Lineage: Eukaryota; Viridiplantae; Streptophyta; Magnoliopsida; Poales; Poaceae.